CGCGUAGGCGGCCUUCUAAGUCGAACGUGAAAUCCCUGGGCUCAACCCAGGAACUGCGUCCGAUACUGGAAGGCUUGAAUCCGGGAGAGGGAUGCGGAAUUCCAGGUGUAGCGGUGAAAUGCGUAGAUAUCUGGAGGAACACCGGUGGCGAAGGCGGCAUCCUGGACCGGUAUUGACGCUGAGGCGCGAAAGCCAGGGGAAGGCAAACG
This 209-nucleotide ribosomal RNA is filed under the name uncultured bacterium. Its description in RNAcentral is "partial 16S ribosomal RNA". It matches the Rfam family "Bacterial small subunit ribosomal RNA", at positions 568 to 774 of the family's 1533-position model. The record is from RNAcentral.